RNAcentral lists this ribosomal RNA (523 nucleotides) under uncultured bacterium. Its description in RNAcentral is "bacterial SSU rRNA". It matches the Rfam family "Bacterial small subunit ribosomal RNA", at positions 355 to 896 of the family's 1533-position model. The record is from RNAcentral.
UGGGGAAUCUUGCACAAUGGGGGAAACCCUGAUGCAGCGACGCCGCGUGAGCGAUGAAGCCCUUCGGGGUGUAAAGCUCUUUCGGCAGGGAAGAUUAUGACGGUACCUGCAGAAGCAGCUGCGGCUAACUACGUGCCAGCAGCCGCGGUAAUACGUAGGCAGCGAGCGUUGUUCGGAGUUACUGGGCGUAAAGGGUGUGUAGGCGGCUCUCUAAGUUUGGUGUGAAAUCUCCCGGCUCAACCGGAAGGGUGCGCCGAAUACUGAAGGGCUAGAGUGUGGGAGAGGAAAGUGGAAUUCCUGGUGUAGCGGUGAAAUGCGUAGAUAUCAGGAGGAACACCGGUGGUGUAGACGGCUUUCUGGACCAUAACUGACGCUGAGGCACGAAAGCGUGGGUAGCAAACAGGAUUAGAUACCCUGGUAGUCCACGCCCUAAACGAUGCAUAUUUGGUGUGGGUCAUUCAGUUGAUCCGUGCCGGAGCUAACGCGUUAAAUAUGCCGCCUGGGGAGUACAGUCGCAAGGCUG